UACGGAGGGUGCGAGCGUUAAUCGGAAUUACUGGGCGUAAAGCGCGCGUAGGCGGUUUGUUAAGUCAGCUGUGAAAGCCCCGGGCUCAACCUGGGAACUGCAGUUGAUACUGGCCGACUAGAGUACGAGAGAGGGAGGUAGAAUUCCAUGUGUAGCGGUGAAAUGCGUAGAUAUAUGGAGGAAUACCAGUGGCGAAGGCGGCCUCCUGGCUCGAUACUGACGCUGAGGUGCGAAAGCGUGGGGAUCAAACAGG
Molecule: ribosomal RNA, 253 nt
Filed under: uncultured bacterium
Lineage: Bacteria
Description: partial 16S ribosomal RNA
Rfam family: Bacterial small subunit ribosomal RNA
Source: RNAcentral